UAUUAAAACAUAAAACUUCAAGACUAUUCAUAGUUUAAACUAUUCCUAGUCUAGUCAUGCAUCUCAUACAUGUUAGAUCUACUUAGAUUUAAAUUUAAAUUUUUUAAUUUCAGAUCCAAUCACAUUUGAUGUGACAUCUGAAAUCCAUUAAUAUCAGAUAAAUAAAAAUAAAAAUCAGAUCUAAAUUAGAUCUGAAAUAGAGUCAUCAACCUGGCUCUGAUACCAGAUAUCCCUCCACUUCUCUACAUCCCCUCUGGUCCUCUCUCUCCCCUUUUCACGUUUAAGAAGUUGGGCAUCCAUCUGGUGCUUGUCCAAAGCGUGGUGGCCCCCUGAUCAGAAGGCUGCAGGGAUUUAUCGAGAAGCUGCUGCUCCAGCUUUAGAAGAUCUUUUAAAGAUCUUUCAGAUCAGAUCCAGAUCUGAUUUUUGAAGCAGAGAUUCACAAGGAGAAGAUGAUCCAGAUCCUGCUCGAGUGGAUACCGAUAGAGGCCAGACGAUUACGUGGCUAUUUUUGAACUUCGGACAUUA
RNAcentral lists this long non-coding RNA (525 nucleotides) under Elaeis guineensis (African oil palm). RNAcentral describes it as "long non-coding RNA (EGUI_LNC031305)". The record is from RNAcentral. Lineage: Eukaryota; Viridiplantae; Streptophyta; Magnoliopsida; Arecales; Arecaceae.